This 497-nucleotide ribosomal RNA is filed under the name uncultured bacterium. Its description in RNAcentral is "partial 16S ribosomal RNA". It matches the Rfam family "Bacterial small subunit ribosomal RNA", at positions 28 to 507 of the family's 1533-position model. The record is from RNAcentral.
GAUGAACGCUGGCGGCGUGCCUAAUACAUGCAAGUCGAGCGAACGGACGAGAAGCGUGCUUCUCUGAUGUUAGCGGCGGACGGGUGAGUAACACGUGGAUAACCUACCUAUAAGACUGGGAUAACUUCGGGAAACCGGAGCUAAUACCGGAUAAUAUUUUGAACCGCAUGGUUCAAAAGUGAAAGACGGUCUUGCUGUCACUUAUAGAUGGAUCCGCGCUGCAUUAGCUAGUUGGUAAGGUAACGGCUUACCAAGGCAACGAUGCAUAGCCGACCUGAGAGGAUGAUCGGCCACACUGGAACUGAGACACGGUCCAGACUCCUACGGGAGGCAGCAGUAGGGAAUCUUCCGCAAUGGGCGAAAGCCUGACGGAGCAACGCCGCGUGAGUGAUGAAGGUCUUCGGAUCGUAAAACUCUGUUAUUAGGGAAGAACAUAUGUGUAAGUAACUGUGCACAUCUUGACGGUACCUAAUCAGAAAGCCACGGCUAACUACGUG